AGAGUUUGAUCAUGGCUCAGAACGAACGCUGGCGGCAGGCUUAAUACAUGCAAGUCGAGCGGGCACUUCGGUGUCAGCGGCGCACGGGUGCGUAACGCGUGGGAACAUGCCCUUAGGUACGGAACAACACAGGGAAACUUGUGCUAAUACCGUAUAAUAUCUCCGGAUCAAAGAUUUAUCGCCUAAGGAUUGGCCCGCGUUAGAUUAGGUAGUUGGUGGGGUGAUGGCCUACCAAGCCGACGAUCUAUAGCUGGUCUGAGAGGAUGAUCAGCCACACUGGAACUGAGACACGGUCCAGACUCCUACGGGAGGCAGCAGUAAGGAAUAUUGGACAAUGGGGGAAACCCUGAUCCAGCCAUGCCGCGUGAGUGAUGAAGGCCUUAGGGUUGUAAAGCUCUUUUAGAUGGGAAGAUAAUGACUGUACCAUCAGAAUAAGCCCCGGCUAAAUUCGUGCCAGCAGCCGCGGUAAUACGAAUGGGGCAAGCGUUGUUCGGAAUCACUGGGCGUAAAGCGUGUGUAGGCGGUUAAUCAAGUCAGAAGUGAAAUCCCAGGGCUUAACCCUGGAAUUGCUUUUGAAACUGAUUGGCUAGAGUACUGGAGAGGUUAGCAGAAUUCCGAGUGUAGAGGUGAAAUUCGCAGAUAUUCGGAGGAAUACCAGUGGCGUAAGCGGCUAACUGGACAGUAACUGACGCUGAGACACGAAAGCGUGGGGAUCAAACAGGAUUAGAUACCCUGGUAGUCCACGCUGUAAACGAUGUAUGUUAGUUGUCGGAAGGUUUACCUUUCGGCGACAAAGCUAACGCAUUAAACAUACCGCCUGGGGAGUACGGUCGCAAGAUUAAAACUCAAAGGAAUUGACGGGGACCCGCACAAGCGGUGGAGCAUGUUGUUUAAUUCGAAGCAACGCGAAAACCUUACCUACACUUGACAUACCCAGUAUGGAUUUCAGAGAUGAUUUCC
Molecule: ribosomal RNA, 960 nt
Filed under: uncultured bacterium
Lineage: Bacteria
Description: bacterial SSU rRNA
Rfam family: Bacterial small subunit ribosomal RNA
Source: RNAcentral